UCUCUCUGUAGCUCAGUUGGUUAGAGCUCGACAACUGUCUCUCUGUAGCUCAGUUGGUUAGAGCUCGACAACUGUCUCUCUGUAGCUCAGUUGGUUAGAGCUCGACAACUGUCUCUCUGUAGCUCAGUUGGUUAGAGCUCGACAACUGUCUUCUGUAGCUCAGUUGGUUAGAGCUCGACAACUGUCUCUCUGUAGCUCAGUUGGUUAGAGCUCGACAACUGGACUCUGUAGCUCAGUUGGUUAGAGCUCGACAACUGGCCUCUGUAGCUCAGUUGGUUAGAGCUCAACAACUGGAUUCUGUAGCUCAGUUGGUUAGAGCUCGACAACUGGACCCUGUAGCUCAAUUGGCUAGAGCUCGACAACUGGACUCUGUAGCUCAGUUGGUUAGAGCUCGGCAACUGUUUCUCUGUAGCUCAGUUGGUUAGAGCUCGACAACUGGACUCUGUAGCUCAGUUGGUUAGAGCUCGACAACUGGACUCUGUAGCUCAGUUGGUUAGAGCUCAACAACUGGAUUCUGUAGCUCAGUUGGUUAGAGCUUGACAACUGUCUCUCUGUAGCUCAGUUGGUUAGAGCUUGACAACUGUCUCUCUGUAGCUCAGUUGGUUAGAGCUGGACAACUGUCUCUCUGUAGCUCAGUUGGUUAGAGCUCGACAACUGUCUCUCUGUAGCUCAGUUGGUUAGAGCUUGACAACUGGACUGUCUGUAGCUCAGUUGGUUAGAGCUCGACAACUGGACUCUGUAGCUCAAUUGGUUAGAGCUUGACAACUGGACUCUGUAGCUCAGUUGGUUAGAGCUCGACAACUGGACUCUGUAGCUCAGUUGGUUAGAGCUCGACAACUGUCUCUCUGUAGCUCAGUUGGUUAGAGCUUGACAACUGGACUCUGUAGCUCAGUUGGUUAGAGCUCGACAACUGGACUCUGUAGCUCAGUUGGUUAGAGCUUGACAACUGGACUCUGUAGCUCAGUUGGUUAGAGCUUGACAACUGGACUCUGUAGCUCAGUUGGUUAGAGCUUGACAACUGGACUCUGUAGCUCAGUUGGUUAGAGCUUGACAACUGGACUCUGUAGCUCAGUUGGUUAGAUC
This 1083-nucleotide long non-coding RNA is filed under the name Paramuricea clavata. The record is from RNAcentral. Lineage: Eukaryota; Metazoa; Cnidaria; Anthozoa; Malacalcyonacea; Plexauridae.